This 448-nucleotide ribosomal RNA is filed under the name uncultured bacterium. Its description in RNAcentral is "partial 16S ribosomal RNA". It matches the Rfam family "Bacterial small subunit ribosomal RNA", at positions 29 to 523 of the family's 1533-position model. The record is from RNAcentral.
AACGAACGCUGGCGGCAUGCCUAAUACAUGCAAGUCGAACGAGAUCUUCGGAUCUAGUGGCGCACGGGUGCGUAACGCGUGGGAAUCUGCCCUUGGGUUCGGAAUAACGUCGGGAAACUGACGCUAAUACCGGAUGAUGACGUAAGUCCAAAGAUUUAUCGCCCAAGGAUGAGCCCGCGUAGGAUUAGCUAGUUGGUGGGUAAAGGCCCACCAAGGCGACGAUCCUUAGCUGGUCUGAGAGGAUGAUCAGCCACACUGGGACUGAGACACGGCCCAAACUCCUACGGGAGGCAGCAGUAGGGAAUAUUGGACAAUGGGGGCAACCCUGAUCCAGCAAUGCCGCGUGAGUGAUGAAGGCCUUAGGGUUGUAAAGCUCUUUUACCCGGGAUGAUAAUGACAGUACCGGGAGAAUAAGCCCCGGCUAACUCCGUGCCAGCCGCCGCAGUAA